RNAcentral lists this ribosomal RNA (301 nucleotides) under uncultured bacterium. RNAcentral's name for it is "partial 16S ribosomal RNA". It matches the Rfam family "Bacterial small subunit ribosomal RNA", at positions 509 to 809 of the family's 1533-position model. The record is from RNAcentral.
CAGUCGCCGCGGGAAUACGUAGGUGGCGAGCGUUGUCCGGAAUUAUUGGGCGUAAAGGGAGCGCAGGCGGACAUAUAAGUCCAUCUUAAAAGUGCGGGGCUCAACCCCGUGAGGGGAUGGAAACUGUAUGCCUUGAGUGCAGGAGAGGAAAGCGGAAUUCCCAGUGUAGCGGUGAAAUGCGUAGAUAUUGGGAGGAACACCAGUGGCGAAGGCGGCUUUCUGGACUGCAACUGACGCUGAGGCUCGAAAGCCAGGGGAGCGAACGGGAUUAGAUACCCGCGUAGUCCCUGUCUCUUAUACA